AUAAUUGUUAGUGUGAAAAAGGAACAUUCUAAUAACAGAAGCAGUUCUCCUCAGUAGACUGUAAGUCUGGAUUGAUCUUAAUUGAGAACAAUGAAGCUAUCUGAUCCUGCUUUAUUCAUGUUCUUGUGGCUGCAGCUAAACCGGUUUAGCAGAGGAGAGAAGGUGGAACAGCAUCCUUCUACCCUGAGUGUCCAGGAGGGAGACAGCGCUGUUAUCAACUGUACUUAUUCGGAUAGUACUUCGGACUACUUCCCUUGGUAUAAACAAGAAGCUGGAAAAGGUCCUCAGCGCAUUAUAGACAUUCGUUCAACUAAGGAGAUGAUUCAAAUCCGAAGACUCAUUGUUGUGUUGAAUAAGAGAGCCAAACACUUCUUCCUGAACAUCACAGACACCCAACCUGGAGACUCAGCUGUGUACUUCUGUGCAGCCAGUGCACGGUGCUUCCCAGACACCUGCAGCCUGUACUGA
Sciurus carolinensis (gray squirrel) is the source of this 468-nucleotide non-coding RNA. The record is from the annotation of a RefSeq genome assembly. Lineage: Eukaryota; Metazoa; Chordata; Mammalia; Rodentia; Sciuridae.